Molecule: long non-coding RNA, 292 nt
Organism: Mercenaria mercenaria
Lineage: Eukaryota; Metazoa; Mollusca; Bivalvia; Venerida; Veneridae
Exons: 3
Source: RefSeq, a predicted model, not a curated record
ACGGACACACACUACUCUGUUUUGUCAUUCCUGUUGCUGAUAUCAAACGAUCCUAUACACAGUGAUUAUGUGGAAACAGAAAAGGUCACUGCCCAAGACAUGAAAGAUGACAUUGACUGGGGAGCCUAUUUAUUGGAAGGCAUUGAAAGAUAUGAUCCCAGUGAUGGAGAGUUAUCAGAUUGGAGUGACGAUGAUGAUGACAGUGAAGAAGAGAAGUAUGUAAGACGUACUGCCCGCGAUAACAGUCAAUCGUUUGAUGAAAGGCAGACAGUAGCUCCAUAUAUUGUCUCAG